GAUGAACGCUGGCGGCGUGCUUAACACAUGCAAGUCGAACGGAAAGGCUCCUGCUUGCAGGGGUACUCGAGUGGCGAACGGGUGAGUAACACGUGGGUGAUCUGCCCUGCACUUCGGGAUAAGCCUGGGAAACUGGGUCUAAUACCGGAUAGGACCGCAUUUUGGAUGGUGUGGUGGAAAGUUUUUCGGUGUGGGAUGAGCUCGCGGCCUAUCAGCUUGUUGGUGGGGUAAUGGCCUACCAAGGCGUCGACGGGUAGCCGGCCUGAGAGGGUGUACGGCCACAUUGGGACUGAGAUACGGCCCAGACUCCUACGGGAGGCAGCAGUGGGGAAUAUUGCACAAUGGGCGCAAGCCUGAUGCAGCGACGCCGCGUGGGGGAUGACGGCCUUCGGGUUGUAAACUCCUUUCGCUAGGGACGAAGCGCAAGUGACGGUACCUGGAGAAGAAGCACCGGCUAACUACGUG
This 465-nucleotide ribosomal RNA is filed under the name uncultured bacterium. RNAcentral's name for it is "partial 16S ribosomal RNA". It matches the Rfam family "Bacterial small subunit ribosomal RNA", at positions 28 to 507 of the family's 1533-position model. The record is from RNAcentral.